Molecule: ribosomal RNA, 459 nt
Filed under: uncultured bacterium
Lineage: Bacteria
Description: partial 16S ribosomal RNA
Rfam family: Bacterial small subunit ribosomal RNA
Source: RNAcentral
CCUACGGGUGGCAGCAGUGAGGAAUAUUGGUCAAUGGGCGGGAGCCUGAACCAGCCAAGCCGCGUGAGGGAAGAAGGUACAGCGUAUCGUAAACCUCUUUUGUCAGGGAACAAAGGCGGGGACUAGUCCCCGGAUGAGGGUACCUGAAGAAAAAGCAUCGGCUAACUCCGUGCCAGCAGCCGCGGUAAUCCGGAGGUUGCGGGCGUUAUCCGGAUUGAUUGGGUUUAAAGGGUGCGCAGGGGGCCUGUUAAGUCAGCGGUAAAAGCCAGGGGCCCAACCCCGGCGAGCCGUUGAAACUGGCGGGCUGGAGUUGGAGAGAGGUACGCGGAAUGCGCGGUGUAGCGGUGAAAUGCUUAGAUAUGGCGCAGAACCCCGGUUGCGAAGGCAGCGUACCGGCUCCACACUGACGCUGAGGUACGAAAGCGUGGGUAUCGAACAGGAUUAGAUACCCGGGUAGUC